CGCAGCGCUGCCAACACACUGGUGGGGCAAACACGUGUUAUCAGUUUAUUUACAUUGGCGUACCUUGAGUGACAUACUGGAGUAGAGAGAGAGAGUGUGUGUGUGUGUUAUUAUUGCCAAUUGCACGUAAGAUAGGAAGGUGGCAAGCAUCACUGGUGAACACAGGUGAAGAUAAGCAAAAUGGCGACCUCAGAAGACAAUCCUCACCUCACCCUUCGUCCUGACCUCCCCCCUGACCUCCCCCCUGACCUCUCCACUGACCUCGGCCCUGACCUUGAACUUGGACGCCAUUACGUGAAGGGGCAACAGGUCAACGUCACGGAGGACCUGCGUCACGAGUUCAAAGGUCACAGGAGCAUCAGUGUGUUUGACCUGCCCUCCCGCUGGUCACGUGACGCCCAAGCCAGGACUAGGAGUGCUGUAUCCGCGAGUGUGGGCGGCAUGAUGAACACGGGAGUGGGCGGGACAGUGUAUUUGGGCGUGAGUGACGAGGGAAGGGUGGUAGGCCUGCCUCUGACGGGGUGAGCGGCGGUGGUGGUGAUAGUGGUGCCACCAGCAGCAGCACAUCACAGCCUCCCUAGCGUGGACACUAGAUCGCUUCACGCCGCCUGUCGGAGAGCACAGAUACCACACCCUCUUCGUGCCAGUCCUGUCCAGACACUGCCGCGCUACACACACUGCUGGGCGCCAGGUCUCCCCCUCCUCAGCAGCGAUGGGAAGGGAGCGGGAGGGGGUCGGGAGGGGAGCAGCACCACCCCACAGAGUCGCCACCCCCAACAGGUGCUGGUGUGACGAGGAGGCUGCAAGACAGGCCUCGCCCCUCCAUGAGUGGGUAGUGGAGAUACACCUACGCCCCUGGGACCCCCACACCCAGGAGGGGACCGCCACCCCCCACCGUGACUGCACCCCGCCCCCCGUGCCGCCCCUCCCCCCUCUACACCUGACGGAGGCCAAUGUUUGUUACUACCGCCACGGGUCACGGCAGGUCACGCUCUGUCUGGACACCGCAAGACGCCUGCUCGUCCACCGCACAGACCGCCACUACACCCCGCAGCUGGCGUCACUCAGGGCCCACCUCCACACGCUGCAUCGACUCGCCGUGGAUAGGGGGCUGCUUGUAAAGGCUGGCGAGGCGAGAGGAGAGAAAGGCCUUAGAGGAGAGUUGAGGGAAGGUGUUGCAGGAGGAAAGGGUAUUAUAGGAGGGAGAGAAAGUGAUAGUUGUGUUAGAAAUGAAAGAAUGGGAUUAAUUGAUUGAUUAGUUAGUGGAAAGGGUGUUAAUUAAAGAGGAAAGAGGAUUAUAGGAGAAUUGAGAGGUGUUAGAGGUGCUAGAAGGAAGGAAAGAAUAGGACUGGACGAUUAAAAGAAGGUAGUUAAGUAGUUUUAUGGUAGAAGGAAGGGGAGAAUGAAAAUGGUUGAUUAGUAAAAGGUUAGUGAAUGAAAUGGAGAUUUAUAAGAGAGAAGGAAGGUUUUAGACACGGUAGAAAGAAGGAAAGAAUGGCACUGAACGAUUAAAAGAAGGUAGUUAAGUAGUAUUAUGGUAUAAGGAAGGAAAGAAUGAAAUUGGUUGAUUAGUAAAGGGUUAGUGAAUGGAAAGGAGAGUUAUAGGAGAGAAGGAAGGUUUCAGACACGGUAGGACGAAGGAAAGAAUGAUUGAUUAUUAAGUUAUUGAUUGAUUAGUGUAUAAAUUAAAUGAUGUGGUGAUAGAAGGAAGGAAAGAGAACGUUGAUAAGGAAGAAAAAGAAAAAAAGGGUUGAAUGUUUUAGUGAAUGCGUAACAAAUGUAAAUAGUUUUGGUAGAAAUAUAUCAAUAGCAGUAAAUGUAAGUGGUAAAAAGGAAAUAGUGGAUACUGAAUUAAGUUAGAAAACAAUUUAAUAGGCUUCAGGCAGAUCCAGUGUGCAUAUUUUCAAGUACAAGUCAACGUAUGCGAUUUGGUGCAUGCAAUUAAAUCUACGGUAACGUCUUGUCGCAUUUCACUAACUUUUAUCGAAAUUAGUCGUCAUGGCUCAUUAGGUCCACGUAAAGAAUAAAGUGUACCGUAUUUUAGUAAAGGAAAAUAUUUAGUAUAUAUCAUUGAUCGCGUUUCUCUUUUUCUUUCAAGUUUCAUUAAUUCUACAAAGGAGGGUUGCCACUUUUCAUUUAGUGUUGUUUUUUUUUUUAUCUACUUGUACUUUUUUUUUUAAUUCUACUGGAAACAUCUGGUACAUUUCAUUAAUUUCGCUUUUCUUUCCUUUUCAAGUUUCGUUAGUUGUACAGAGAGGGUUCGCCACAAUUCAUAAAGUCUGGAGCUUUUAUUUUAUUAUUUACUUGCAUUUUUUCUUAAUUAUGUGGAGAAAUUUGAGGCUAAGAGUGUGAAUGAUGUGUGUGUGUGUGUGUGUGUGUGUGUGUGUGUGUGUGUGUGUGUGUGGUGCCAUGCCUGGACCGCCCGUGAGUGAUUCUUGACCUGGUAUAGAGACAAAUGUAAAUAUUCUGCAUCGUUUUCAGCUUUCCCUCAAACUCUUUUUAAAUCUACGGAAUAGAGUUUGCUGCAGUUCAAUAACCUUAGAUAUUAUAUUUACCCGCAUUUUUUUUAUAGUCAGCGAGAAAACUAAGUCUUAUUUUCACUGCCUUCUAAACGGUCCACCGAAAUUUUCAUAAAGUCUACGGAUAAAGCUUGUCGCAUUUCAUUAACUACAUAUAUUAUUUAUUUAUUUAUUUUAGUCUGGGGAAAAAUUCAGCCCGUUUUUCUUGAUCAAACUACUUAAUUCUGUCACCAAAGUUUGAUAAAGUACAAGAGGAAAAGUUCGUCACGUUUUGCUAACUGCAGAUGUCAUUUAUUUAUUUAGUUUAGUCUAUGGGAAAAAUUUUUUGGUGUAUUUACAGAUGUUAUUGGUGUCAUUGUUGAUGUGCUGCAUAUUGGGUGCUACUGUAGUUAUUGUUAUCAUUAUUAAUUGUGUAUCUUUAAGUGUAUUGUAACUUUCUUGUGGGUAUAUGAAUAAUUUAGAGGUUAUUAUUGUUUUUGUCUUUUUUUUCUCUUGCCAAACACUCAUCUUUUUUUUCAUUUUUUUUUUUACUUAAUUCGUCUUUUCUUCUCUUUUUCCUCUUCAUACUUUCUUCACUGUAUUCCUCUUCCUCUUAAACUCUCAUCUUUGUUUUCCUUCAUUUCUCUCCUCAGUUCACCUCUUCUUCCCUUUUCUGUCUCCAUACAUCUCUCUCUCUCUCUCUUUAUCCCCUAUAUUCUUCCUACCAAAUCCUCACAUCUUUACUAUUUCUCUUUUCUUAAUUUCUCUACUUCUUCCCUUUUCUCUUUCUACUACCCUUUCCUUUCCCAUCCUCCUGUUCAGUUUCCUUCUUAUUCUGCUCCUCGUCUUCCUCCUCCUCCUCUCCCUCCAGCCACCACAGGUAACAUAGGUUAAUUAAAACACACCUGUACA
RNA transcript from Scylla paramamosain (green mud crab), 3410 nucleotides. RefSeq lists it as uncharacterized. The transcript has 7 exons. Lineage: Eukaryota; Metazoa; Arthropoda; Malacostraca; Decapoda; Portunidae. The record is from RefSeq and is a predicted model, not a curated record.